UACGAAGGGGGCUAGCGUUGUUCGGAAUCACUGGGCGUAAAGCGCACGUAGGCGGAUUGUUAAGUCGGGGGUGAAAUCCUGAGGCUCAACCUCAGAACUGCCUUCGAUACUGGCAAUCUCGAGUCCGGAAGAGGUUGGUGGAACAGCUAGUGUAGAGGUGAAAUUCGUAGAUAUUGGGAAGAACACCGGUGGCGAAGGCGGCUCACUGGCUCGUAACUGACGCUCAUGCACGACAGCGUGGGGAUCAAACAGG
Molecule: ribosomal RNA, 253 nt
Filed under: uncultured bacterium
Lineage: Bacteria
Description: partial 16S ribosomal RNA
Rfam family: Bacterial small subunit ribosomal RNA
Source: RNAcentral